UAAAGCCAGCUGCCUGGGACCUUGUGGUUACAAAGUAACUGGAAACAAUUCUUCACUGAAAAUGGGAUCAACAUGCUAGAAUCUCAUUAUGGUGGAGGUUGAAGAAGCUUGGAGCUAAGAAGAUGGGGUGAAGGGAUAUCUGAAGAAGACCCCUUCUGAUCUCUGAAAAGCAAAAAGAAGAUCCUUCAUACCAUAAAACUAAUGGGUUCAAG
This 212-nucleotide long non-coding RNA is filed under the name Ictidomys tridecemlineatus (thirteen-lined ground squirrel). Its description in RNAcentral is "lncRNA (ENSSTOG00000033492.1)". The record is from RNAcentral. Lineage: Eukaryota; Metazoa; Chordata; Mammalia; Rodentia; Sciuridae.